AUUGAACGCUGGCGGCAUGCUUUACACAUGCAAGUCGAACGGCAGCACGGGCUUCGGCCUGGUGGCGAGUGGCGAACGGGUGAGUAAUAUAUCGGAACGUACCCAGAGGUGGGGGAUAACGUAGCGAAAGUUACGCUAAUACCGCAUACGAUCUAUGGAUGAAAGCAGGGGACCGCAAGGCCUUGUGCUCCUGGAGCGGCCGAUAUCUGAUUAGCUAGUUGGUGAGGUAAAGGCUCACCAAGGCGACGAUCAGUAGCUGGUCUGAGAGGACGACCAGCCACACUGGAACUGAGACACGGUCCAGACUCCUGCGGGAGGCAGCAGUGGGGAAUUUUGGACAAUGGGCGCAAGCCUGAUCCAGCAAUGCCGCGUGAGUGAAGAAGGCCUUCGGGUUGUAAAGCUCUUUUGUCAGGGAAGAAACGGUAGAGGCUAAUAUCCUUUGCUAAUGACGGUACCUGAAGAAUAAGCACCGGCUAACUACGUG
This 484-nucleotide ribosomal RNA is filed under the name uncultured bacterium. Its description in RNAcentral is "partial 16S ribosomal RNA". It matches the Rfam family "Bacterial small subunit ribosomal RNA", at positions 30 to 507 of the family's 1533-position model. The record is from RNAcentral.